CAAUAAUCUUCUAUUUGUUAUCUGAUGAAAACCCAAUUUUUCCCAAAUCUCAAAAUCCUAAAAAUUGUCAUCCUCAAUGUUACCAAAUUCUUUAACACAUUCAUCAACUUACUUCAACAUCAAAUAUUCCCCUUACCAUGACCUCGAAAAUCAACCUCUUUCCCCUAUAUAUUACUUUUUUUUCUUCAUCUGUUUCUUUUUCAGUUUUCUGUUUCAACCUUCAUUUUUUCUUUCUUAUUGUUCAUUCUAAAACCAUCACUAAUGAUAUUGUUGAUGGUCGAGUUGAAGACGCAUCACGUUCACCUCAU
RNAcentral lists this long non-coding RNA (308 nucleotides) under Lathyrus oleraceus (garden pea). Its description in RNAcentral is "Pisum sativum (pea) long non-coding RNA (PSAT_LNC018920)". Lineage: Eukaryota; Viridiplantae; Streptophyta; Magnoliopsida; Fabales; Fabaceae. The record is from RNAcentral.